Mycena metata is the source of this 92-nucleotide non-coding RNA. NCBI's taxonomy places the organism in Eukaryota, Fungi, Basidiomycota, Agaricomycetes, Agaricales, Mycenaceae. The record is from the annotation of a GenBank genome assembly.
GACCUGAUGGCACAGCUGGUAGUGCAUCUGCUACAGAUAAUACAGUCGAGGGUCUUCAGCAGAAUACCCUUGUUCGACUCGGUGUCAGGUCA